AAAGAGUAACGGAGGCGCGCGAAGGUUGGCUCAGAGCGGUCGGAAAUCGCUCGUUGAGUGCAAUGGCAUAAGCCAGCCUGACUGCGAGACUGACAAGUCGAGCAGAGUCGAAAGACGGCCAUAGUGAUCCGGUGGUCCCGAGUGGAAGGGCCAUCGCUCAACGGAUAAAAGGUACGCCGGGGAUAACAGGCUGAUGGUGCCCAAGAGUCCAUAUCGACGGCACCGUUUGGCACCUCGAUGUCGGCUCAUCUCAUCCUGGGGCUGGAGCAGGUCCCAAGGGUAUGGCUGUUCGCCAUUUAAAGAGGUACGUGAGCUGGGUUUAGAACGUCGUGAGACAGUUCGGUCCCUAUCUGCCGUGGGUGUAGGAUACUUGAGAGGAGUUGCCCCUAGUACGAGAGGACCGGGGUGAACGAUCCACUGGUGGACCUGUUGUCGUGCCAACGGCAGUGCAGGGUAGCUAUGAUCGGACAGGAUAACCGCUGAAGGCAUCUAAGCGGGAAGCCCCCCUCAAAACAAGGUAUCCCUGAGGACCGAGGUAGACCACCUCGUCGAUAGGUCGGAGAUGUAAGCGCAGUAAUGCGUUCAGUUGACCGAUACUAAUUGUCCGAUAGGCUUGAUUUG
Molecule: ribosomal RNA, 621 nt
Filed under: Boseongicola sp.
Lineage: Bacteria; Pseudomonadati; Pseudomonadota; Alphaproteobacteria; Rhodobacterales; Paracoccaceae
Description: partial 23S ribosomal RNA
Rfam family: Bacterial large subunit ribosomal RNA
Source: RNAcentral